RNAcentral lists this ribosomal RNA (393 nucleotides) under uncultured bacterium. Its description in RNAcentral is "bacterial SSU rRNA". It matches the Rfam family "Bacterial small subunit ribosomal RNA", at positions 29 to 417 of the family's 1533-position model. The record is from RNAcentral.
AGUGAACGCUGGCGGCAGGCCUAACACAUGCAAGUCGAACGGCAGCACAGCAGUAGCAAUACUGUGGGUGGCGAGUGGCGGACGGGUGAGGAAUACAUCGGAAUCUGCCUAGUCGUGGGGGAUAACGUAGGGAAACUUACGCUAAUACCGCAUACGACCUACGGGUGAAAGCGGGGGAUCGCAAGACCUCGCGCGAUUAGAUGAGCCGAUGUCCGAUUAGCUAGUUGGCGGGGUAAUGGCUCACCAAGGCGACGAUCGGUAGCUGGUCUGAGAGGAUGAUCAGCCACACUGGAACUGAGACACGGUCCAGACUCCUACGGGAGGCAGCAGUGGGGAAUAUUGGACAAUGGGCGCAAGCCUGAUCCAGCCAUGCCGCGUGGGUGAAGAAGGCCU